Molecule: long non-coding RNA, 400 nt
Organism: Nannospalax galili (Upper Galilee mountains blind mole rat)
Lineage: Eukaryota; Metazoa; Chordata; Mammalia; Rodentia; Spalacidae
Exons: 4
Source: RefSeq, a predicted model, not a curated record
CAGGGUGUGUUGACAUUCAGUGAUGUGACUGUGGACUUCACAGGUGGAGAGGGAGUGCCUAGAUCCUGCUCAGAGCACUUUGCAGAGAGACCUGACGGUGGACAAUUAUAGCUGUCUUGUUUUUGUUGGUGAAGUGGAUUUACAGAGAACUGAAAGGAAGUUUCUCAAAAGAGGAGACUGUUUAUGUAAGAUUUCUGGAAAGGACACUCACAGGAGGAGCGAGAUGGCGUCAUUUCAGGAUCCAUUGACAUUCAAGGAUGUGUCCAUAGACUUCUCCCAGGAGGAGUGGGAAUGCCUAGACUCUGCUCAGAGGGCUUUGUACAGGGAGGUGAUGUUGGAGAACUACAGCAAUCUGGUGUCCGUAGGUCUUGCUGUGUGUAAGCCUGUUCUGGUCUCCUGU